ACCUACGGGGGGCAGCAGUGGGGAAUAUUGGGCAAUGGGCGCAAGCCUGACCCAGCAACGCCGCGUGAAGGAAGAAGGCUUUCGGGUUGUAAACUUCUUUUGUCAGGGAAGAGUAGAAGACGGUACUUGACGAAUAAGCCACGGCUAACUACGUGCCAGCAGCCGCGGUAAUACGUAGGUGGCAAGCGUUGUCCGGAUUUAUUGGGCGUAAAGCGAGCGCAGGCGGUUGCUUAGGUCUGAUGUGAAAGCCUUCGGCUUAACCGAAG
This 266-nucleotide ribosomal RNA is filed under the name uncultured bacterium. RNAcentral's name for it is "partial 16S ribosomal RNA". It matches the Rfam family "Bacterial small subunit ribosomal RNA", at positions 337 to 618 of the family's 1533-position model. The record is from RNAcentral.